GUUCUAAAUCAGUCUUAAAUCUGAAUUUCAGCCAAAUUUUCUGGUUAUUUGAUUUUGUCGUAGUUAGAUGAGUCUUUAGUUUCCAUGGGGAAAAGGGCAGUCUCUCUUAACCAGGGGCCGGAGCCCAACAAGACAGCGCCUGGUAGUUACAAUGGACCUGUAAACAUGGGAAAACGACGAAUCUCAAGAAAGGUAUCUUCUAGAAAGAAUAGAGUUGGGUAUUUUUAGGUAUUUUUAGCUGACGAAUUUUUUUAUCGUGCUAAAAUAAAGAUAAUCUAAUCUUAUCUGAGUGUCUGUUUAAGAACGUCCGUUUAACGUUUUUUACGCAUCGUUGCUGUGCAAGUCAUUCAUGUCACAACGUCAAGCCACGUCAUACAUCAAGCGCACGCUAAUAAGGAAAUAUAAGCGAGUAUAGGUACCGGGUGUGUUAACUUCACCUGGAGUUUAUUCUCCUAAAAGGUCGGUGACCCCCUCUUUUCUUUAUAUAAAUCACUUUCUUCCAUGAUUUUCUCCAUUUUAACAGAAAACAGCAAAAGAGAAGUUGCAAAU
Molecule: long non-coding RNA, 549 nt
Organism: Orbicella faveolata
Lineage: Eukaryota; Metazoa; Cnidaria; Anthozoa; Scleractinia; Merulinidae
Source: RefSeq, a predicted model, not a curated record